GAUGAACGCUGGCGGCGUGCCUAAUACAUGCGAGUCGAGCGAACAGACGAGGAGCUUGCUCCUCUGACGUUAGCGGCGGACGGGUGAGUAACACGUGGAUAACCUACCUAUAAGACUGGGAUAACUUCGGGAAACCGGAGCUAAUACCGGAUAAUAUAUUGAACCGCAUGGUUCAAUAGUGAAAGACGGUUUUGCUGUCACUUAUAGAUGGAUCCGCGCCGCAUUAGCUAGUUGGUAAGGUAACGGCUUACCAAGGCAACGAUGCGUAGCCGACCUGAGAGGGUGAUCGGCCACACUGGAACUGAGACACGGUCCAGACUCCUACGGGAGGCAGCAGUAGGGAAUCUUCCGCAAUGGGCGAAAGCCUGACGGAGCAACGCCGCAUGAGUGAUGAAGGUCUUCGGAUCGUAAAACUCUGUUAUUAGGGAAGAACAAAUGUGUAAGUAACUAUGCACGUCUUGACGGUACCUAAUCAGAAAGCCACGGCUAACUACGUG
RNAcentral lists this ribosomal RNA (497 nucleotides) under uncultured bacterium. Its description in RNAcentral is "partial 16S ribosomal RNA". It matches the Rfam family "Bacterial small subunit ribosomal RNA", at positions 28 to 507 of the family's 1533-position model. The record is from RNAcentral.